This 661-nucleotide ribosomal RNA is filed under the name uncultured Lachnospiraceae bacterium. RNAcentral's name for it is "bacterial SSU rRNA". It matches the Rfam family "Bacterial small subunit ribosomal RNA", at positions 64 to 722 of the family's 1533-position model. The record is from RNAcentral. Lineage: Bacteria; Bacillati; Bacillota; Clostridia; Lachnospirales; Lachnospiraceae.
GAACGAAGCACUUGAUUUGAUUUUCUUCGGAACUGAAGAUUAAGUGACUGAGUGGCGGACGGGUGAGUAACGCGUGGGCGACCUGCCCUGUACAGGGGGAUAACAGUUAGAAAUGACUGCUAAUACCGCAUAAGACCACAGUGCUGCAUGGCACAGUGGUAAAAACUCCGGUGGUACAGGAUGGGCCCGCGUCUGAUUAGCUAGUUGGUGAGGUAACGGCUGCACCAAGGCGACGAUCAGUAGCCGGCUUGAGAGAGUGAACGGCCACAUUGGGACUGAGACACGGCCCAAACUCCUACGGGAGGCAGCAGUGGGGAAUAUUGCACAAUGGGGGAAACCCUGAUGCAGCGACGCCGCGUGAGUGAAGAAGUAUUUCGGUAUGUAAAGCUCUAUCAGCAGGGAAGAAAAUGACGGUACCUGACUAAGAAGCCCCGGCUAACUACGUGCCAGCAGCCGCGGUAAUACGUAGGGGGCAAGCGUUAUCCGGAAUUACUGGGUGUAAAGGGUGCGUAGGUGGUAUGGCAAGUCAGAAGUGAAAACCCGGGGCUUAACUCCGGGACUGCUUUUGAAACUGUCAAACUGGAGUGCAGGAGAGGUAAGCGGAAUUCCUAGUGUAGCGGUGAAAUGCGUAGAUAUUAGGAGGAACAUCAGUGGCGAAGGC